Molecule: non-coding RNA, 136 nt
Organism: Ornithorhynchus anatinus (platypus)
Lineage: Eukaryota; Metazoa; Chordata; Mammalia; Monotremata; Ornithorhynchidae
Source: Rfam
CCCCUCUCAGGAUCACACCUGGAGAGUUUCCAGUACUCUACCAGUCUCCGCCACGGGAGGGAAAGUCAAGCAGAGGCGUACCCACUCCAUUUCUAGCUUGGACAGUGGCUAGAGCGGAAGGCAAUCUGCUACAAGU